UACAGGGGGGGCAAGCGUUGUUCGGAAUUACUGGGCGUAAAGGGUUCGUAGGUGGCCAACUAAGUCAAACGUGAAAUCCCUCAGCUUAACUGGGGAACUGCGUCUGAUACUGGAUGGCUCGAGUGCAGGAGAGGAACGCGGAAUUCCAGGUGUAGCGGUGAAAUGCGUAGAUAUCUGGAGGAACACCGGUGGCGAAGGCGGCGUUCUGGACUGCAACUGACACUGAGGAACGAAAGCCAGGGGAGCAAACGGG
This 253-nucleotide ribosomal RNA is filed under the name uncultured bacterium. Its description in RNAcentral is "partial 16S ribosomal RNA". It matches the Rfam family "Bacterial small subunit ribosomal RNA", at positions 524 to 776 of the family's 1533-position model. The record is from RNAcentral.